AUACGGAGGAUCCGAGCGUUAUCCGGAUUUAUUGGGUUUAAAGGGUGCGCAGGCGGCCAUUUAAGUCAGCGGUUAAAUCGUGGGGCUCAACCCCAUUCUGCCGUUGAUACUGGGUGGCUUGAUUGCGGUCGAGGUUGGCGGAAUUCGUUGUGUAGCGGUGAAAUGCAUAGAUAUGACGAAGAACACCGAUUGCGUAGGCAGCUGACCAGACCGCAAAUGACUCUCAUGCACGAAAGUGCGGGGAUCGAACAGGAUUAGAUACCCUGGUAGUCCGCACAGUAAACGAUGAAUACGUGUUUUCGGCGAUAUAAUGUCGGAGGCAAAGCGAAAGCGAUAAGUAUUCCACCUGGGGAGUACGCCGGCAACGGUGAAACUCAAAUGAAUUGACGGGG
Molecule: ribosomal RNA, 392 nt
Filed under: uncultured bacterium
Lineage: Bacteria
Description: partial 16S ribosomal RNA
Rfam family: Bacterial small subunit ribosomal RNA
Source: RNAcentral